GAAAUGCGAUAAGUAGUGUGAAUUGCAGAAUUCAGAGAAUCAUCGAAUCUUUGAACGCACAUUGCGCCCUUUGGUAUUCCAAAGGGCAUGCCUGUUCGAGCGUCAUUUGUACCCUCAAGCUUUGCUUGGUGUUGGGCGUCUUGUCUCCAGUUCGCUGGAGACUCGCCUUAAAGUAAUUGGCAGCCGGCCUACUGGUUUCGGAGCGCAGCACAAGUCGCGCUCUCUUCCAGCCAAGGUCAGCAUCCACAAAGCCUUUUUUCAACUUUUGACCUCGGAUCAGGUAGGGAUACCCGCUGAACUUAAGC
This 305-nucleotide unclassified non-coding RNA is filed under the name plant metagenome. Its description in RNAcentral is "partial contains 5.8S ribosomal RNA, internal transcribed spacer 2, and large subunit ribosomal RNA". The stretch from base 1 to 105 matches the Rfam family "5.8S ribosomal RNA", at positions 50 to 154 of the family's 154-position model. The record is from RNAcentral.